GAUGAACGCUGGCGGCGUGCCUAAUACAUGCAAGUCGAGCGAACGGACGAGAAGCUUGCUUCUCUGAUGUUAGCGGCGGACGGGUGAGUAACACGUGGAUAACCUGCCUAUAAGACUGGGAUAACUUCGGGAAACCGGAGCUAAUACCGGAUGAUAUUUUGAACCGCAUGGUUCAAAAGUGAAAGACGGUCUUGCUGUCACUUAUAGAUGGAUCCGCGCUGCAUUAGCUAGUUGGUAAGGUAACGGCUUACCAAGGCAACGAUGCAUAGCCGACCUGAGAGGGUGAUCGGCCAUACUGGAACUGAGACACGGUCCAGACUCCUACGGGAGGCAGCAGUAGGGAAUCUUCCGCAAUGGGCGAAAGCCUGACGGAGCAACGCCGCGUGAGUGAUGAAGGUCUUCGGAUCGUAAAACUCUGUUAUUAGGGAAGAACAUAUGUGUAAGUAACUGUGCACAUCUUGACGGUACCUAAUCAGAAAGCCACGGCUAACUACGUG
This 497-nucleotide ribosomal RNA is filed under the name uncultured bacterium. Its description in RNAcentral is "partial 16S ribosomal RNA". It matches the Rfam family "Bacterial small subunit ribosomal RNA", at positions 28 to 507 of the family's 1533-position model. The record is from RNAcentral.